Molecule: ribosomal RNA, 292 nt
Filed under: uncultured Acidobacteriota bacterium
Lineage: Bacteria; Pseudomonadati; Acidobacteriota
Description: uncultured Acidobacteria bacterium partial 16S ribosomal RNA
Source: RNAcentral
GGACUACCAGGGUUUCUAAUCCUGUUUGCUCCCCUAGCUUUCGUCCCUCAGCGUCAGUUGUGAUCCAGCGAGCCGCUUUCGCCUCGGAUGUUCCUACGGAUAUCUACGCAUUUCACCGCUACACCCGUAAUUCCACUCGCCUCUCUCACACUCUAGCACAGCAGUUUCGGCAGCAGUCUCUGGGUUAAGCCCAGAGGUUUCACUACCGACUUGCCACACCGCCUACGGACCCUUUACGCCCAGUAAUUCCGAGCAACGCUGGCCCCCUACGUUUUACCGCGGCGGCUGGCAC